RNAcentral lists this ribosomal RNA (253 nucleotides) under uncultured bacterium. RNAcentral's name for it is "partial 16S ribosomal RNA". It matches the Rfam family "Bacterial small subunit ribosomal RNA", at positions 524 to 776 of the family's 1533-position model. The record is from RNAcentral.
UACGGAGGGUGCAAGCGUUAUCCGGAUUUACUGGGUUUAAAGGGUGCGUAGGCGGGCCUUUAAGUCAGUGGUGAAAGCUCCGAGCUUAACUCGGAAACUGCCAUUGAUACUAUUGGUCUUGAAUUCGGUCGAGGUUGGCGGAAUGUGUCGUGUAGCGGUGAAAUGCUUAGAUAUGACACAGAACACCGAUUGCGAAGGCAGCUAGCUAGACCGACAUUGACGCUGAGGCACGAAAGCGUGGGGAGCAAACAGG